GGUAAAGCAGGCGAAGAUGGAAAACCCGGAUCUCCCGGCAAAGUGGGGGAGGAUGGUGUGCCAGGUGAAGAUGGGAGAAAGGGCGACAAAGGAGAAUCAGGAGCAGCUGGAAGAGAUG
This is a non-coding RNA of Plectropomus leopardus (leopard coralgrouper), 118 nucleotides long. The record is from RefSeq and is a predicted model, not a curated record. NCBI's taxonomy places the organism in Eukaryota, Metazoa, Chordata, Actinopteri, Perciformes, Serranidae.